Molecule: non-coding RNA, 197 nt
Organism: Oryza nivara
Lineage: Eukaryota; Viridiplantae; Streptophyta; Magnoliopsida; Poales; Poaceae
Source: Rfam
UUUAAUUCUUGGGUUUCUGUGUUCAAUGUUUGAUUGUCUGUCUUAUAUGAAAUUUUUUUAUGAUUAGUAUUUUCAUUAUUGUUAGAUGAUAAAACAUGAAUAAUACUUUAUGCAUGACUUAUCUUUUAAAUUUUUUUUAAAAUUUUUUUAAAUAAGACAAACGGUUAAAGGUUAGACAUGAAAACCCAGAAAUUAAG